UGCCAGCAGCCGCGGUAAUACGAAGGGUGCUAGCGUUGUUCGGAAUUACUGGGCGUAAAGAGCAUGUAGGCGGAUGAAUUAGUCAGAGGUGAAAGCCCCGAGCUCAACUUGGGAACUGCCUUUGAUACUGUUUAUCUAGAGUCCGAGAGAGGUUAGUGGAAUUCCCAGUGUAGAGGUGAAAUUCGUAGAUAUCAGAAGGAACAUCGGAGGCGAAGGCGGCUUGCUGGACAGACACUGACGCUGAGGCGCGAAAGCUAGGGGAGCAAACGGGAUUAGAUA
This 279-nucleotide ribosomal RNA is filed under the name uncultured bacterium. RNAcentral's name for it is "partial 16S ribosomal RNA". It matches the Rfam family "Bacterial small subunit ribosomal RNA", at positions 506 to 784 of the family's 1533-position model. The record is from RNAcentral.